RNAcentral lists this ribosomal RNA (365 nucleotides) under uncultured Leptolyngbya sp. RNAcentral's name for it is "bacterial SSU rRNA". It matches the Rfam family "Bacterial small subunit ribosomal RNA", at positions 386 to 768 of the family's 1533-position model. Lineage: Bacteria; Bacillati; Cyanobacteriota; Cyanophyceae; Leptolyngbyales; Leptolyngbyaceae. The record is from RNAcentral.
CUCCGGCGACAGCGCGUGAGGGAGGAGGCCUGUGGGUUGUAACCUCUUUUCUCAUGGGAAGAAGACCUGACGGUACCAGAGGAAUAAGCAUCGGCUAACUCCGUGCCAGCAGCCGCGGUAAGACGGAGGAUGCAAGCGUUAUCCGGAAUUAUUGGGCGUAAAGCGUCCGCAGGCGGCUAAUUAAGUCUGCUGUUAAAGACUGGGGCUUAACUCCGGAUCGGCAGUGGAAACUGGUUGGCUAGAGUACGGUAGGGGUAGAGGGAAUUCCCAGUGUAGCGGUGAAAUGCGUAGAUAUUGGGAAGAACACCAGUGGCGAAGGCGCUCUACUGGGCCGAAACUGAAGCCAAGGACGAAGGUCUAUGCCC